AGAGAGACAGAGACAGAGACAGAGAGAGAGAGAGACAGAGACAGAGACAGAGAGAGAGAGAGAGAGUGAUUAAUUAAAAAUAAUUAACCGUCAUAACAAAACAAACAUAAUACACGAUUUAUAAUAAAAUAAAAGUCUGAAGUUAAUUGGACAUGCAAAAUCACAACUUCAAUAAGCAAAAGUCUACCAAUGUUUAAAAUUUAAAGCAUAUAACUACCCAAAAAAGUGUGACAAUAUUAAGGUCGACACUUCAAGUAACUAAAGUCUCAUAAUAUCAAACAUUUAAGUCUUAGAUGAGUCUAUUAGGAUAAGUAGGAUUAGUAAAUGAGUGAGAAGAUAAUUUCAUAUCGCUCAUCAUGCGAGACCAUUGCUCCUCCAUAGAUUUGAAUUGAUCAUCACUUUGUUGCCUCAAACAGGAAACAUCUAGCUCUACUCGUUGUUGCACCUCCACCUCUACAUGCUCUUGAAUAACUCUCUCUUGAUUUCUCUCAUUUGCGACACCUCUUUCUCAAGUAUUUUGAUGCGCUCUUCGGCAACAUAAUUGAACACUAAACUUAUCGAAUUGAUAGAAUUUUGAUCUUUAUACAAGGUUGAAGCUUACCGUAAACAGGUCAUGAAUUUUCUUUCAAAACACAGCAAGUCCAUAGUUGUUGCUGAACAUCUUACUUUCUUUACAAAUUUUAUUUUCAACAAUCUGUCUAUUGCAAAGAUAUGAAGCAUAAAGAUCUAACAUAUGAGCAUUGUCAUAUUCAAUACUGGAACAGCACGAUAUUAUGAAAAAUAAUAAAUUUUAUCGAUCACCAAGUCAUAAACACGAUAUCACAAAGAAAUCAAUUUUAGAGAACCAUGCUUAGUUGAUACUUUAUCCUUUAGCAGCUUCUUGUAGGUUGUGUGUGUGGAUAGAGAAACCAUAAAUAUCAGAUUCUAAUGGCUUAUUCAAUAAAUAUUUCAAUAACCAUAUGAACUCAACAGGCUUCAGUUCUUUUAUACUGGGAAAUCUAUCUGGCGUCAACCUUUAGGACCAACUACACCCUUGAAACUCAGGGAAGAUGAACCCAAGCAGAUAUUUAAAAUAAAUAUCUAAAAUUCAUUAACAGUCUUAUUCAAGGUCUUGAUGCAACAUAAAUCCAAGCAGAUAAGCUCUCGGAAGAUUGGUAUCAUAACAUACUAGAAGGACUACCAAUUAGGCAGAACAACAUAGCUAGUUCAGUUUCACAAGGUGGGCUUGGGGAGGGUACUGAGGGUACUACAUAUGCAAACCUUACAACCUUGGGAGGUAGAGAAACUGUUUUCGAUAGACCCCCAGUUCAAGGAUGACUACUAAUUAGGCAGACACUACCAAAAUAUGACAUGUCCUGGCCCAACAUAUAAUCUACUAAAAAGGACAUUCAAUUGUCUAUUUGAAUUAACAUAAAGUAUGAUAUAUGAAAUUAAGAUUAGAGUUUCUAUUGAGUAAGAAAUUAUCAACCACAAAAGUUUGAUCAAUUACUAUAAAGUAUCAGUAAGUUAAUUCAUAGGAAAGUAUCGGGUUAGAAACUAAAAUUGUCAAUCAACAAACAUUGUUAUAUUUCUAGAAGCUUCCUAUGUCAAUGUCAAAGAAUUCUUUGUGGUUCUCUUUUUUGUUUUCUGUCUGCAGAAAAGGUUAUGUUUCAUAUCCUUCUUAGUAACAUAAAAGUCGAAACAAGUAUUAAUGUACAAAUUAUUUUGAUCACAGAACCAAAAAAGUGGACUUACAAGAAACCUCUUUUCAGUCAUAACUACUAGCUAUGACUCACACACAUAUACUAGCCUACUAACCCACCUUGAAGGAAUUAACUAACUUUGGCAUAAAAUUCAAGUAUUCUACGAUAACUAAAUCCACCUAGAUAGCAGACCAACUUUUGGAAGACAAAAAGUAGAGAAGCAGUGAGGUCCAAAAUAAAAUCUUCAAAGAGCUCAAAUAGACGAGUGAUAAAGCUAAGUACUUGUAAGAACCGUGUAAAAUAUGCAUGGUCAGAAUGCAGAAGGUUGAAGGGGGCUUUGCAUAGCAGGAAGCAUCAAAAGGAUGUUAGAACUAAGGAAAAUGACAAAGUAACACGAAAGAAUAUCCUCUCGAGAUAGAUUGAUCAUCCUAUGAUGGAUUUCUUGCGCAUACAUACUCCAAAGUAAAAAUACUAUGAGGUGCUAAGAAUGAACACGCAAACAUAAUAACACAUAGAAGAAAAUUAUAUUAAAAGAUCUACAGUUCCUCCAAAUGAGCACGGACUUAAUAGAAACUGGAACACAAAAGAGCAGGAGAUAAAUAUUGGUAAGAACAACUUGUUUAAAAUUCAAGCAUAGUUAAGAGUCACAAUUACAGUGGGUGCCUGUCAAGAGUCUUUCUUAUACUCUUCCUGUUCUGUAGAAACUUGAUUAUUUGUAUACAGAUAAAAAUUAAACUAUCUCUAACUUAUCAAAUCAAAACUUAGGAUACUAUCGAAAGGGAUCUCAUUACUUCAAAGAAGUCCAUGAUAUUAUUUUGAAGAUUGUAAAACUCGAACAAUAAAUUAAGUCUCAUAUCUAUGCUAUAAACUGUCCAUCAAUUUUUCACAAAUUGAAAACUGUAAAACUUUUAUAUGUUUACCUUCCAUAAACAUUAUAAUUGCUAGAUAAUUUAAGAAUUCUAAGAUAUAGGAUCUCUAUUCAUCUCAACUCUUACAAAAUCAAUAAAACAUAACACAUAGUAAACACACAAGCAUAGUAGUUUCAUUUGGUUGGUUUGAACUCAAAUGUAUCGACAUUUGUCAGUGACUGCUGAGCUCAAAAGUGAACUGACCAAUAUUACAAAAUCCCCAAGCACCUCAAAUAAAAAAACUCACAAUUACACCACCUAUCACCACCACUAAAAUUCACAACAACAACAACAACAUACCCAGUAUAUUUCCACCAAGUGGGGUCUGGGAAGGAUAAGUGUACGCAGUCCAUAACAGUACCUCAAAUGUGAGAUAGAGAGCCAAUUUUUGAUAGACCCCCGGCUUAAAAUACAACAAUAUAAGAUAAGGAAUAGUAAUAGUAGGAAUAAGGAAGGAGACAUUGAAGAAAAUAAAAUAACAAAUAUAUAUUGAUAUGUUAUAAAAUGAAGAAAAAAUAUCAAUAUUAAACUUAAAGAAAUGAGAGGAAUUUAGAGAAUUUAGUAGUACAUUUG
This 3163-nucleotide long non-coding RNA is filed under the name Capsicum annuum. Its description in RNAcentral is "long non-coding RNA (CANN_LNC010381)". Lineage: Eukaryota; Viridiplantae; Streptophyta; Magnoliopsida; Solanales; Solanaceae. The record is from RNAcentral.